Molecule: long non-coding RNA, 806 nt
Filed under: Homo sapiens (human)
Lineage: Eukaryota; Metazoa; Chordata; Mammalia; Primates; Hominidae
Description: HSALNT0396203
Source: RNAcentral
CAAAAAAAAAAAAAAAUUCAACCAAGCAUAUUAUCACUACUUCCCCAUUUCCCUUGCUGGACUACAAGCUCCCGAUGGCAGGAACUGGGAGAAGCUACUGUGUUUUCCAGAGCUUGGAACAUAAGCACUCCAUGAAUGCAUACUGCACAAAUCAGCUAAUCACCGGAAGCCAGAGUAUUUUGGCGCCCUGACAGACUUGGAUUAGGUGAUGUUGCUUCUCAGAUGCUGAGAAAGUGUCCUGAUGCCGCAGUUGAGUGCUGACCCAGAUUUGGAAGGAGAUGAAAGGACUUUAAAAUAUUCUAACAACCCACAUUCCAAGAUUCACAUCUAUCCCAAGGUUCCCUGGCUCCUAAAUGGCUCAUGCAAAUCUUGAAGGAGUCUCUACUUUUUGAGGAGGAAAACAGCUCUUUAAUCUGGACUCCACGAUGUUGUUGAAAACACGCUUGCAGAGAUCCCGUGAAGAGAGUGAAAAGUCAAGCCACAAACUGGGAGAAGACAUUUGCAUUAUGUCUUGUCUCAAAGGACUCAUAUUCGGAAUAUAUAAAGAACCCUCACAAAUCAAUAAGCCAGGGUUCUAAAGGUCCAGUUUGGCUUAGCUGAUCCUCCAUUCAAGACUUGGAUAAAUGACUCUGCUUCAGGCUGUUGGAUUGGUUGGGUUCUGUCGGUGCCAAAUCCAAGGUUGGGUUUACUCUGCUCCACAUUUGAUAAUUCUCAGGAUAAGGAGAUGGGAUCUUCCUGUGUUGCCUAGGGUUGUCUCAAACUCCUGGCCUCAAGUGAUCUUCCUGCCUUGGCCUCCCAAAGUGCUG